RNAcentral lists this ribosomal RNA (633 nucleotides) under Halomonas sp. TW31. RNAcentral describes it as "bacterial SSU rRNA". It matches the Rfam family "Bacterial small subunit ribosomal RNA", at positions 376 to 1001 of the family's 1533-position model. The record is from RNAcentral. Lineage: Bacteria; Pseudomonadati; Pseudomonadota; Gammaproteobacteria; Oceanospirillales; Halomonadaceae.
CGAAAGCCUGAUCCAGCCAUGCCGCGUGUGUGAAGAAGGCUUUCGGGUUGUAAAGCACUUUCAGCGAGGAAGAAGGCCUCUGGGUUAAUACCCCAGAGGAAGGACAUCACUCGCAGAAGAAGCACCGGCUAACUCCGUGCCAGCAGCCGCGGUAAUACGGAGGGUGCGAGCGUUAAUCGGAAUUACUGGGCGUAAAGCGCGCGUAGGUGGCUUGGCACGCCGGUUGUGAAAGCCCCGGGCUCAACCUGGGAACGGCAUCCGGAACGGCCAGGCUAGAGUGCAGGAGAGGAAGGUAGAAUUCCCGGUGUAGCGGUGAAAUGCGUAGAGAUCGGGAGGAAUACCAGUGGCGAAGGCGGCCUUCUGGCCUGACACUGACACUGAGGUGCGAAAGCGUGGGUAGCAAACAGGAUUAGAUACCCUGGUAGUCCACGCCGUAAACGAUGUCGACUAGCCGUUGGGACCUUUAAGGACUUAGUGGCGCAGUUAACGCGAUAAGUCGACCGCCUGGGGAGUACGGCCGCAAGGUUAAAACUCAAAUGAAUUGACGGGGGCCCGCACAAGCGGUGGAGCAUGUGGUUUAAUUCGAUGCAACGCGAAGAACCUUACCUACCCUUGACAUCCAGAGAACUUUCC